Molecule: ribosomal RNA, 780 nt
Filed under: uncultured bacterium
Lineage: Bacteria
Description: bacterial SSU rRNA
Rfam family: Bacterial small subunit ribosomal RNA
Source: RNAcentral
AGAGUUUGAUCCUGGCUCAGGAUGAACGCUAGCGGCAGGCCUAAUACAUGCAAGUCGAACGGCGUCCUUCGGGGCGCAGUGGCGCACGGGUGCGUAACGCGUAUGCAACCUACCUACCACUGGGGGAUAGCCCGGAGAAAUCCGGAUUAAUACCGCAUAACACCACGGGAGGGCAUCUGAUUGUGGUUAAAGAUUUAUCGGUGGUAGAUGGGCAUGCGUGCCAUUAGCUAGUUGGCGGGGUAACGGCCCACCAAGGCGACGAUGGCUAGGGGUUCUGAGAGGACGAUCCCCCACACUGGCACUGAGAUACGGGCCAGACUCCUACGGGAGGCAGCAGUAGGGAAUAUUGGGCAAUGGGCGGAAGCCUGACCCAGCCAUGCCGCGUGCAGGAUGAAGGCCUUCUGGGUUGUAAACUGCUUUUACCAGGGAAGAAAAGACCCAUGCGUGGGGAACUGACGGUACCUGGGGAAUAAGCACCGGCUAACUCCGUGCCAGCAGCCGCGGUAAUACGGAGGGUGCAAGCGUUGUCCGGAUUUAUUGGGUUUAAAGGGUGCGUAGGCGGCCCCUUAAGUCAGUGGUGAAAGCCCGCGGCUCAACCGCGGAACUGCCAUUGAUACUGGGGGGCUUGAGUACAGACGAGGUAGGCGGAAUUGAAGAUGUAGCGGUGAAAUGCUUAGAUAUCUUCAAGAACCCCGAUUGCGUAGGCAGCUUACUAGGCUGUAACUGACGCUGAGGCACGAAAGCGUGGGGAGCGAACAGGAUUAGAUACCCUAGUAGUCC